Molecule: long non-coding RNA, 2237 nt
Organism: Dermacentor albipictus
Lineage: Eukaryota; Metazoa; Arthropoda; Arachnida; Ixodida; Ixodidae
Source: RefSeq, a predicted model, not a curated record
CGUUUCUGAGCACUCUGGAGCGCUCUCGCAAGCGGCGUUGUCUUCGGCUGCUUGAAAGAGGGUGCGCGCCCUGCGUUCGGCUGGUUCUUCUCGAUUGCUCUCCUCUAUCUUGGAGCGCUCUGAGGCGCUCCGAGCCCUGUCGUCGGAGCAGUCAUCGAGAUUGAAACGUCAUCGCAGCGCCGGGUCGCUGCUGUUGGCGACGGCCCACCGUAACCUUGGCAACCUAGGCCACUGCAUGCUGGCGUCUCGACGAACGUUCGUCCCGCCGGCACGUCCGCCGGUUUUUCCGGCAGCACCGGGAGCUUUGGAUAGGCGAAACAUCGGACGUUGGCAGUAGUCACGUGGUUUCGCAUCAGCAAUUUCCUCCUCCGAGAGCGAGUCGCACGUUCGGCUUGCGCGCUUGUCCCCUACCUUUGAGCUCGGGAAACGACCCAUCUACCCGACUCUGCUUCGGGGCAUACAGGCGACCAGUCGAACAUACCAUAAGAGGUGGCACAUCCGACACGAACACAUUCGCGUCGGCGUGUGUGUGUGUGUGCGUGCGUGUACGCAUUUACCGCUGAUCAAGGCAUUCGUAUCACUGCCAGGAAAUACCUGAGUGAAGUGGUCUUCUUAGGACGAGACAGACUGUUUGUUCGUAUAGGGCGUUAUUGAUACAGUGAAGCCGAUGGGCCCCAGUGAACUUGGGGUCAUGUUGACGUCGUGGGAAUGAUGUCGCAGGAACCCGGUUCCGUACGUCGAGAGAAGCUCUCAGCAUGUGAGCCGCUGAUAACAGUUUCAGUAGAAGACCGAUUCUACAGUCUGCUCAAGACGCACCGGAGAAUCUGCCGCUGUUCGUCGUCCCCGGAAUUCACUGGCAGAUGAGGUACUCGACGGAAUUCUCACAUCUGCAGUGAGCGCGCCUAGGUCCUUCGCGUGGCGACAGAUAACGUCAUCAAUAAUAAAGGCAUUUGCAUUUACCGGGUGGUAGACUGAAGAGGACGAUGAUGAUUACAAUUUCGACGACUGCCCGGAACGCUUAACGAAAGGAGCUUUUAAGCGAGUUCCAUUAGUUGGAGCAAUUUCGAUCUGGCUGCGCCGCCCACAGCCUGCAGCUUGCCGCAAAAGCCGCCAUUCGGCAGGGCCCAAAUGCCGAGGAAGUCGUACUAAUAUGCGGCGCCAUCGUUCCAUCUAUACGCAAGAGCACCGCCUACACGGAAGAAGUGUUGAACGUGGCCGGUCGGUAUCUGGAAUCUCACAGCGCGACGAGGUGGAACUCGCAGCUUCUGAUGAUGAGAAAGCGCUUAACACUUUUUCGGAUCAUCCAGGCCUGACAAAAACUCUGCACGUGUGCAAGAAGGCCAAACUGUCUAAAUAUGAGCUGAGGCUGAAGACAGACUUGCUUGAGCUUCUCUUCCCUGUAAAGGAAGCCACGGAGUUGCUGCAGAAAAGGCACGAGACAACCGGGCUUUUGCUUCCCGCGCUGCGAAAUAUCGAAGUUUCUCUCGCGGAAAUCUAAAGCAAAGGCGCACUUCUUAGCAAAGAGGCGGCUAAAGGCCUACAGCGUAACCUGAAGAGGCGGUUCGCAAGCAGGUGGUCUGAUUGUGUUCUUUUUAUGGGUGCCCUCCUAGACCCACGGUUUAGGACUUCUUGGUAUUCAGCUGCAACACCGAGCAGGUGCGUUCUGAUAUGUGCUGGGGAGGAGGCCUCUUUUGUUAGGGCAGGACAGCGCCAGCACUUUCGCAAAUACACACUCUGAUGCAGGACCAAGCAAACUGAUGUUUAAAAGCAUCGGGCAAAAUGAAAAUGCCCACCGAGACAAUAUGCCUGGGUCCAUUGCGGGGGAAAUUUCUCUUUAUCUUACAGAGGGAUCUUGCGCAGACACAGUCAAGUCCCUGACCUAUUGGAAAGCGAACGAUAGGCGAUUUCCCUUGCUUUACCGCCUCGCAAUGCAGUUUUCACUGUGAAUGCGGCGUCAGCUGACGUGGAACGCGUUUUCUACGGCAUCCCUGAUAACGACAGCGAAGCGAAAUCGGCUUUGAAACGCCUCUUUCGAGCAGCUCAUGUUUGUGAAGCGCAACACAUUGACGUAGGCGGCAAUGGUUUUGUCUCGCCUUCCUUCCCCCUCUUUUCUCUUUCUUUUUCUUUUCGGAACUAACCGUUGCAGAAGCCAUCAUUUACACUUCGGGUUUUCGAAACUAAAUGGCGAAGCGCCCAUUUUUGUAAAAUAUCCAGGAAUAAAACCAAAGUAAAGCUUC